This 89-nucleotide transfer RNA is filed under the name Dioszegia hungarica. It matches the Rfam family "tRNA". From Rfam's summary of the family: Transfer RNA (tRNA) molecules are approximately 80 nucleotides in length. Their secondary structure includes four short double-helical elements and three loops (D, anti-codon, and T loops). Further hydrogen bonds mediate the characteristic L-shaped molecular structure. tRNAs have two regions of fundamental functional importance: the anti-codon, which is responsible for specific mRNA codon recognition, and the 3' end, to which the tRNAs corresponding amino acid is attached (by aminoacyl-tRNA synthetases). tRNAs cope with the degeneracy of the genetic code in two manners: having more than one tRNA (with a specific anti-codon) for a particular amino acid; and 'wobble' base-pairing, i.e. permitting non-standard base-pairing at the 3rd anti-codon position. The record is from Rfam by way of RNAcentral. Lineage: Eukaryota; Fungi; Basidiomycota; Tremellomycetes; Tremellales; Bulleribasidiaceae.
GCCCGGUUGGCUCAGUUGGUAGAGUUGCUGACUCUUAUUUACCGAUAAGAAUCAUCAGCCGGUCGUGGGUUCGAGCCCCACAUCGGGCU